This 510-nucleotide long non-coding RNA is filed under the name Lepidothrix coronata (blue-crowned manakin). RNAcentral describes it as "lncRNA (ENSLCOG00000007381.1)". The record is from RNAcentral. Lineage: Eukaryota; Metazoa; Chordata; Aves; Passeriformes; Pipridae.
GCUUUUUGCAGAUACUAGAUCAACUCAGUGAGACUUCAAGUUUUGUGGAUAGUGAGAAUCUUAAGGAGAAAUUGGUGGAAGUUCAUGAAAAUCAUAUGGACAGAGCUUUGGAAGAGCUGUCUAGAUACCAAACAGAGUCUAAUGACAUAGAUGAUACAAAAAAACCCAGGAAACAUUGGCAAGCUGGAGCCCCUCAGACACUACUGAAUUUUUUAGCUGAUGCUGAUGUCACAUCUCUAUGUCCUACUAUGGCUGAAGAUGAACUUGCUGACCAUGCUAUUCUGCCUGAAGACGUCCCAGAAAGCAGGAAGCAGUGGAAACAAACACCACCAGAGACUCUCCUGAACAUUUUAGCAGAAGCAGAGCUGUCUAAUGAUUCCUUUAUGUGUCUUGAAGAAGAAAUAGAAGGGAAAUUAACUCUGUUGCCUCCAAAAGAAAACAAGAAAGAUGAUUCAGAGACAUACUCUGCUGUUGCUGUUGAUGAAGGCAGACUUGAGCCAAGAUCAGAUG